This 565-nucleotide long non-coding RNA is filed under the name Meriones unguiculatus (Mongolian gerbil). RNAcentral describes it as "lncRNA (ENSMUGG00000007178.1)". The record is from RNAcentral. Lineage: Eukaryota; Metazoa; Chordata; Mammalia; Rodentia; Muridae.
CUGAUUGGUGCACGCGCAUCAUUCACACAACACAAUGGACCGCGAGUUCCCUGCCGGCGCGCUCACCUCCGGGCUCUGCACCGGCUUGCUGGCCGCGACCCAGCGGCCUUUCCCCCGGUGGGAUCUCCCCGCCGCUCUGCGCUUGGGGAGCUCCCGGUGGAGGUGUGGGCGCCGCCGUGUCCCGGCGAGGGAAGGGGCGAGAGGAAAGCGUCUUUCGGAGAGAUGCGCCCACAGACCUGUCGAUGCCAUGACACCUCAGCUAAACAUGUGCCCUCUCCCACCCUGCUCAGCUCCCUGGGCUGGCCUUCACACACACUUUCUUGCCCAGUCUGACCAGCGGGAGGCUCUGGAAGACCAUGAGCAGGUGCCAUGAGCAGGUGGGAAGCAGAGCCCUUCUCUGCCAACCCCUGACUUAGUGCAAGACUAUCUACUGGAUUCGUACAGUGAGCUUCUGAGCCAUGAAACCAUCCUUUCAGCCAACAGCAAGGACCUACUGUGUGUUCGUGCCUACUAAAUGCUGGGGUUACAGGUGUGCACAAAGUAAGGGUGCCCUCUGUUCCCUCUA